RNAcentral lists this ribosomal RNA (253 nucleotides) under uncultured bacterium. RNAcentral describes it as "partial 16S ribosomal RNA". It matches the Rfam family "Bacterial small subunit ribosomal RNA", at positions 524 to 776 of the family's 1533-position model. The record is from RNAcentral.
UACGAAGAGGGCGAGCGUUGUUCGGAUUUACUGGGCGUAAAGGGCGCGCAGGCGGCUCAUUUUGUCAGGCGUGAAAGCCCCGGGCUUAACCUGGGAACUGCGUUUGAUACGGAUGGGCUAGAGUUCGGGAGAGGAGAGUGGAAUUCCCAGUGUAGAGGUGAAAUUCGUAGAUAUUGGGAAGAACACCGGUGGCGAAGGCGGCUCUCUGGACCGAUACUGACGCUGAGGCGCGAAAGCGUGGGGAGCAAACAGG